RNAcentral lists this ribosomal RNA (743 nucleotides) under uncultured bacterium. RNAcentral's name for it is "bacterial SSU rRNA". It matches the Rfam family "Bacterial small subunit ribosomal RNA", at positions 94 to 823 of the family's 1533-position model. The record is from RNAcentral.
AGCGGCGGAUGGGUGAGUAACACGUGGGGAACCUGCCCCUAAGUCUGGGAUACCAUUUGGAAACAGGUGCUAAUACCGGAUAAUAAAGCAGAUCGCAUGAUCAGCUUUUGAAAGGCGGCGUAAGCUGUCGCUAAGGGAUGGCCCCGCGGUGCAUUAGCUAGUUGGUAAGGUAACGGCUUACCAAGGCGACGAUGCAUAGCCGAGUUGAGAGACUGAUCGGCCACAUUGGGACUGAGACACGGCCCAAACUCCUACGGGAGGCAGCAGUAGGGAAUCUUCCACAAUGGACGCAAGUCUGAUGGAGCAACGCCGCGUGAGUGAAGAAGGUUUUCGGAUCGUAAAGCUCUGUCGUUGGUGAAGAAGGAUAGAGGUAGUAACUGGCCUUUAUUUGACGGUAAUCAACCAGAAAGUCACGGCUAACUACGUGCCAGCAGCCGCGGUAAUACGUAGGUGGCAAGCGUUGUCCGGAUUUAUUGGGCGUAAAGCGAGCGCAGGCGGAAAAAUAAGUCUAAUGUGAAAGCCCUCGGCUUAACCGAGGAACUGCAUCGGAAACUGUUUUUCUUGAGUGCAGAAGAGGAGAGUGGAACUCCGUGUGUAGCGGUGGAAUGCGUAGAUAUAUGGAAGAACACCAGUGGCGAAGGCGGCUCUCUGGUCUGCAACUGACGCUGAGGCUCGAAAGCAUGGGUAGCGAACAGGAUUAGAUACCCUGGUAGUCCAUGCCGUAAACGAUGAGUGCUAAGUGU